AGAUUGAACGCUGGCGGCAGGCCUAACACAUGCAAGUCGAGCGGUAGAGAGGUGCUUGCAUCUCUUGAGAGCGGCGGACGGGUGAGUAAUGCCUAGGAAUCUGCCUAGUGGUGGGGGAUAACGUUCGGAACGGACGCUAAUACCGCAUACGUCCUACGGGAGAAAGCGGGGGACCUUCGGGCCUCGCGCCAUUAGAUGAGCCUAGGUCGAUUAGCUAGUUGUGAGGUAAUGGCUCACCAAGGCGACGAUCCGUAACUGGUCUGAGAGGAUGAUCAGUCACACGUGGAACUGACGACGACGGUCCAGGACCUCCGUACGGGAGGCAGCAGGUGGGAAUAGUGGAACAAGUGGGACGAAAGCCUAGAUCCAGCCCAUCGACCGCGUGUAGGUGAAGGUAAGGUUCUUCGGAAUUUACGGAAAA
RNAcentral lists this ribosomal RNA (421 nucleotides) under uncultured soil bacterium. RNAcentral's name for it is "bacterial SSU rRNA". It matches the Rfam family "Bacterial small subunit ribosomal RNA", at positions 26 to 439 of the family's 1533-position model. The record is from RNAcentral.